AGUCUACUCCCUCCGUCUCAGAAUUCUUGUCUUAGAUUUGUCUAAAUACGGAUGUAUCAAGUCACGGUUUAGUAUUAGAUACAUCCGUAUCUAAAUCUAAGACAAGAAUUUUGGGAGGGAGGGAGUAAUAU
Non-coding RNA from Triticum aestivum (bread wheat), 131 nucleotides. NCBI's taxonomy places the organism in Eukaryota, Viridiplantae, Streptophyta, Magnoliopsida, Poales, Poaceae. The record is from Rfam.